Molecule: long non-coding RNA, 1108 nt
Organism: Pristis pectinata (smalltooth sawfish)
Lineage: Eukaryota; Metazoa; Chordata; Chondrichthyes; Rhinopristiformes; Pristidae
Exons: 3
Source: RefSeq, a predicted model, not a curated record
CUUCCUUUCUUUCCCAGCACAAUAUGCUCCAAGGUGAGUAUACCCGAGGGCAAAUAGCAAUCGCUUCUGUUUCCACUCUUAAACUUUGGAUCUAAUUAUUAGUUUCACUAAUUCCUACUUCUGCAAAUUCCCUUCUACAGAUGUGUUCAAAGCCUCGUUGAAGGAAUGCAGCAUCGACACUGACUCCUGGGAAUCCCUGGCCCAUGACCGCUCAAGGUGGAGAAGUGGCAUUCAGGAUAUAUGGAGAACUUCAAGCAUGAGUGGUGGAAAGAGUGUAUCAACUCACAAAUAGCCUGCCCGACACCUCCUGCCCCAUCUGUGGAAGAGGCUGUGGUUCCAACAUUGGCCUCAUCAGUCACUACAUAUCCCUCAAUUCCAGAAAUGAAGCAAGUCAUCCUCGAUGCUAAGGAACUGGUUAAGAAAUUGACGUUUGGAAUCAGUUGUACCCUAACACACAACACUCAAGGGAAGACUCAUUACAUAAGUGUUGUAUCUACCGUUCCUGGCAUCACAACAGUAAGAACACAUUAAAAAGCACUUCACUGGAAGCAAAGUGCUUUGGGACAUCCUGUGGUGCGUGAGAUGGUAUGAGAUAGGCAAAAAGUUCCUGCUGUCAGUGCACACGAAUAUCAUCACAUUUUUGGAAUAACUGCAGAUUACAAGGAUAUCCUUAAUUUCAAUCUUAAUGAGUUUUCAAUCAACACUUCUAACAGUGAUUCCUUCUUUUUUUUUAUUUUACUGAAUAGAUGCUUCAGAACAACUUUCCAAAGGACAAAAUUAAUGACAUUUUAAAAAUGACUCAUUUAUUUGUUUUUAUGUAUUUCUCCUUCAAUGGUACCUUUACCACCCAGAGAGCAUCGAGUGCUGGAAUGCACUGGAGACGUGGGAGCCUGCAGAUGCUGCAAUCUAGAGCAAAAUAAAAACUGCUGGAGGAACUCAACGGGUCGAGCAGCAUCUGUAGACGGAAAGGAAUUGCCGAUGUUUCUGGUCAAGACCCAGACACAAGGGAAAGAAAACCAACAGAGAAACAGACUGAACGGAGCCAAGGUUCCCCACCUCAGCCUCACUUGGAGGGUUGCAUUCAAAUUUUCCCCCAAACUCGUUAUCC